Molecule: ribosomal RNA, 910 nt
Filed under: uncultured bacterium
Lineage: Bacteria
Description: bacterial SSU rRNA
Rfam family: Bacterial small subunit ribosomal RNA
Source: RNAcentral
ACGCUGGCUACAGGCUUAACACAUGCAAGUCGAGGGGAAACGACGGGGAAGCUUGCUUCCUCGGGCGUCGACCGGCGCACGGGUGAGUAACGCGUAUCCAACCUGCCUCUGACUGAGGGAUAACCCGUCGAAAGUCGGCCUAAUACCUCAUGGCAUCGUCUGCGGGCAUCCAACGACGAUUAAAGAUUUCAUCGGUCAGGGAUGGGGAUGCGUCUGAUUAGCUGGUUGGCGGGGUAACGGCCCACCAAGGCGACGAUCAGUAGGGGUUCUGAGAGGAAGGUCCCCCACAUUGGAACUGAGACACGGUCCAAACUCCUACGGGAGGCAGCAGUGAGGAAUAUUGGUCAAUGGGCGAGAGCCUGAACCAGCCAAGUAGCGUGCAGGAAGACGGCCCUAUGGGUUGUAAACUGCUUUUAUGCGGGGAUAAAGUGCAGGACGUGUCCUUCAUUGCAGGUACCGCAUGAAUAAGGACCGGCUAAUUCCGUGCUAGCAGCCGCGGUAAUACGGAAGGUCCGGGCGUUAUCCGGAUUUAUUGGGUUUAAAGGGAGCGUAGGCCGUGGAUUAAGCGUGUUGUGAAAUGCAGGUGCUCAACGUCUGCACUGCAGCGCGAACUGGUCCACUUGAGUGUGCACAACGCAGGCGGAAUUCGUCGUGUAGCGGUGAAAUGCUUAGAUAUGACGAAGAACUCCGAUUGCGAAGGCAGCUUGCGGGAGCACAACUGACGCUGAAGCUCGAAAGUGCGGGUAUCGAACAGGAUUAGAUACCCUGGUAGUCCGCACGGUAAACGAUGGAUGCCCGUUGUCAGGCUGUUUCAGCCUGGUGACCAAGCGAAAGCAUUAAGCAUCCCACCUGGGGAGUACGCCGGCAACGGUGAAACUCAAGGAAUUGACGGGGGCCCGCACAAGCGGAG